UCCUCUAGAUUCGUUAUUCUUCCCCACCCCAACCACUCCACCCCUGUCUUUCUCUGUCUCUCUUCCGAUGGACUACUCGGGCGGCGCUUCGGCGUCGGGGAGGGCCCGCGCGCGGUGGUGCUACUGCCGCUUCUUCCGCCGGUGGUGCCGCUGCUUCUGCGGCUGCUACUGCUGCAACUGCUUCCCCGACGAGCCCCACGGCGACCCCCGCUUUAGGGCUCUCCGCCCUCCGUGCUCCCAGCCUCCAAGGGACACUUGCAUGUAGGCAGAUGAGCUCCAUGAGAAAAUGUACCGAGUCUUGUCAUCAUGUACACUAGGCAAAUAGCUACCUUGCUGUUCAAAUAGAUGUGGAAGAAGAUGUUUAGCUUCUGGGCUUUUUUCCAUUGUAUAUUUGCUAGACAAGAAAUGUAUUACUUACCCUGUGGUGAGGCUGUUUAAAGUACUUUGCUGAUAAGGUUAGCUAGAAGUCCCAAUGAUGGUGGGAAUCGAAGUCGUAGUUCUUGUUAUACUUGCUAAUCUGUGUAUCAUGGUUAGCUAAACCAAAUUUAAAUGCUGCUUGUAUUAUACAACUGGUACUUCUACAUGUUCGUCUGAAUGUACAUAAAGUGAAUUAUAU
This is a long non-coding RNA of Phragmites australis (common reed), 616 nucleotides long. RefSeq lists it as uncharacterized. The transcript is spliced from 2 exons. NCBI's taxonomy places the organism in Eukaryota, Viridiplantae, Streptophyta, Magnoliopsida, Poales, Poaceae. The record is from RefSeq and is a predicted model, not a curated record.